This 253-nucleotide ribosomal RNA is filed under the name uncultured bacterium. RNAcentral's name for it is "partial 16S ribosomal RNA". It matches the Rfam family "Bacterial small subunit ribosomal RNA", at positions 524 to 776 of the family's 1533-position model. The record is from RNAcentral.
UACGUAGGGUGCAAGCGUUGUCCGGAAUUAUUGGGCGUAAAGAGCUCGUAGGCGGUUUGUUGCGUCGGCUGUGAAAUCCCGAGGCUCAACCUCGGGUCUGCAGUCGAUACGAGCAAACUAGAGUGUUGCAGGGGAGACUGGAAUUCCUGGUGUAGCGGUGAAAUGCGCAGAUACCAGGAGGAACACCGGUGGCGAAGGCGGGUCUCUGGGCAACAACUGACGCUGAGGAGCGAAAGCGUGGGGAGCGAACAGG